This 250-nucleotide ribosomal RNA is filed under the name uncultured prokaryote. RNAcentral's name for it is "partial 16S ribosomal RNA". It matches the Rfam family "Bacterial small subunit ribosomal RNA", at positions 524 to 774 of the family's 1533-position model. The record is from RNAcentral.
UACGAAUGGUGCAAGCGUUAUCCGGAUUUACUGGUGUAAAGGGUGCGUAGGUGGUGAGGCAAGUCAGAAGUGAAAACUGCGGGCUCAACCCGGAGACUGCUUUUGAAACUGUCUUACUAGAGUGCAGGAGAGGAAAGUGGAAUUCCUAGUGUAGCGGUGGAAUGCGUAGAUAUUAGGAGGAACACCAGUGGCGAAGGCGACUUUCUGGACUGUAACUGACACUGAGGCACGAAAGCGUGGGGAGCAAACA